CCCUUAGAUGUUCUGGGCCGCACGCGCGCUACACUGACGAAUGCAACGAGCUUAUAACCUUGGCCGAAAGGUCUGGGUAAUCUCCAAAUUUCGUCGUGAUGGGGAUAGAUUAUUGCAAUUAUUAAUCUUCAACGAGGAAUACCUAGUAAGCGCAAGUCAUCAGCUUGCGUUGAUUACGUCCCUGCCCUUUGUACACACCGCCCGUCGCUCCUACCGAUUGAAUGGUCCGGUGAAGCGUUCGGACCGUGGCCUUUGGACGGUUCGCCGUCUGUUGGCUGCGGGAAGUUCGUUAAACCUUAUCAUUUAGAGGAAGGAGAAGUCGUAACA
Molecule: ribosomal RNA, 327 nt
Filed under: uncultured eukaryote
Lineage: Eukaryota
Description: partial 18S ribosomal RNA
Rfam family: Eukaryotic small subunit ribosomal RNA
Source: RNAcentral